ACGCUCGACACCUACGGGGGGCAGCAGUGGGGAAUAUUGCACAAUGGGGGAAACCCUGAUGCAGCGACGCCGCGUGAGCGAAGAAGUAUUUCGGUAUGUAAAGCUCUAUCAGCAGGGAAGAAAGUGACGGUACCUGACUAAGAAGCCCCGGCUAACUACGUGCCAGCAGCCGGGUAGUACUGAGGCGGGCCGUGGUCGAACGGACG
RNAcentral lists this ribosomal RNA (206 nucleotides) under uncultured bacterium. RNAcentral's name for it is "partial 16S ribosomal RNA". It matches the Rfam family "Bacterial small subunit ribosomal RNA", at positions 328 to 551 of the family's 1533-position model. The record is from RNAcentral.